CCAGGGUCGCGGCGGACAGAGAGAGGCCGAAACUCAGAAGAGCGAAGAGAGCUUCCCUGCCGAUUGAGGGGCUCUGCCGGGAGACCUGAGGGACCUCCUCCCUCACCUCCAGACUGAAAGAAAAGACUGAGACCUCCCCCAACCCUCCAGGGACUGGCGGGACCCCCCCACCUAGAGACUGGAGGGACACCCCCCUCACAGCCUCCGGAGACUGGGACCCUCUCCACCACCCCCAUCCGAGACUGAGAGACUUCCCCAGCCCCCGCACCAGACGGACCCCUCUCCACCCUCAGAGACUGACUCCCUCCACCGUCCUCCCUCACUUCCCAGAGACUGAAAGGGGACCCCCCCUUUAGAGGCCGAGAGAUCUUUCAUCCUCCUUUGAAACGAGUCCCCCCUCCCCUCAGACCUCGGACUGACAGCCUUCUCCUCGAGAGACCUCCCUCACACUCCCAGAGACUGACCUCGGCCCUCCCCCCUUAGAGCUUGAGAGCCGCCUUCACCCCAAGGCUCAGAGAAGACUAAGGGGUCACUGCAGUGCUAGCUCAUUCCUACAGAAACUUAAGGAUUCCUCUCACACCUGGAGCCUGAGGGACCUUUCCUUACCUAACCCAGGGUCUGAGGGUUCUCAGAACCCCCAAACCAAGACCAAAGGAACCCCCUCCACCCUAGAAACUGAAGGGCAAGACUGAGGGACUAGACUAAGGGACUCCACCUCACUCUGCCUAAGAGAGUAAGGAUUCUCUUCACCUUACUCUAGACACCGAGAGACUCCCCAGUCACCCCAACUCAUCCUGAGGACCUUCCUAUCCCACUGCAAAGACUGAAAGGCCCCCAACAGACCAAGGGACCCCUCUACUGUAGAGCUUGAGCGAUCCCCACAGACUGAGGGAGCCCUUCACCCUAUUUCAUAUAUGGUGAGGCCUCUCACAUCCCAGACUGAAGAAUUCUCAAAACUCCAUAGACUUAGGACCUCUCCUCAGCCUACCCCACAGACUUGGGGCUAGAAAACAAGAAACCCUCCACAACUCCCCAGAGAACAAAGGAUUCUUCAUAGGCUGAAGGAUCCCCCACCUUACUCCAGACCCUUUCCCAGACCCCAUAGACAGAGACCUUCAAACUCCAUAGCUCUUAGACCCCAUUCCAGAGACCAACAGACACUACAGACUUGGGAACCAACCUUGCACAAUCUAGAAACCAAGGGAUCGUCUUCACACCCUCAGAGACCAAAGUAUCUUCCCAGACAUUACAUUAAGGAACCCCCCCAUCCAGAUUCCACACACCAGGAGACUUCCUCCAUAGACCUCAUAAGCUUAAGAGCUCUUUCCUCCAUCCUCCAGAUGGAAUGAAUCUACUAGAGACCAUAGGACCUUCUCAGAUCAUCUAUACUGUGGGACCCCCCAAUCCUCUAGAGAUUCCACAAAGUAAAGGAUUCUCUUCAUGCCACCACAAGAUUCCAUAGACCAAGGAACAAGCCUCCCAGAGACCCAUUAGUCUGAGGACUCUAAACAAAGGGCCCCCUUCAAGACUCUACAGAUUGGGGCUCCCUUCUCUUAAAUAACUCUCCCUUAGCUUCUUCAGAGCCCCAUAGCUCAAGGGAUUCUACUUCAGCAACUCAAGACUCUACAGGGGCCCCUCUUUUCUUUCCCCAAGACCUCAUAGACUGAGGGACCUUUCCCCAGCCUCUCCUUCAGGCCUAUAGUCUGAGGAACCCAUACCCAUAUAUAAUCCCCCAGAGAGCUAGCCCAUAGACCAAGGGAUUCCAACUCAGCUUUCCCCACAGAGGGAUCCCCCUCCCCAAUCAAGUACUCCCAACAGAGGUACCCAUCUGCCUAGAGACUCUUUGGGAUUCCCUUUAGCCUCUCCCCAGUCAAAGAUUUCAGAAAUUGAGGGGUAUCUUCCAAAGACCCAACAGAGGGAUCCCUAUGAGUAUCUCUCUAUAGAGUGAUGCCUCCCUCUUCCACCAGUCAAACUUCACAAAAGGGUCCUCCCCUCAGCCUCUCUCAAGGAGAACAGAGCUCUUUCAGUAACUGUCUCCCCAGUUGAUUCUCAGAGGGGCUCAUUUCCUACCCCUCAUUCAUAGAAUCCACGGGCUCUAAGACCAAGGUAUUCUUUUUCUUGCUGCUUCCCAGUUAAAACCUUUCCCUUCAGGCUCUCCUUAGCAAGAGACCCCAAAGUAGGACUCUAGGAAUCUUUCUCUUAGAACCCCGAUCCAUAAACACCCAAUAGAAGGACUCUGUUUGCUCUGCAUUCAUAAAGAGGAGCUUAAAAUCCAAGACGAGCUUCCCUUAGCCUUGUAGCCCUGCCCUCCCCAGACCUAACAGGUGCCAGAUACCAAGGCACCUUCUCAUCCUCUACUCCCAUUUCAGAGACCUCCCACAGCAAAGUGGCUUAGGGAGUCGGGCACCUUCCCCUUCAUGAACUCCUUCCUUUCAGCCCUGUGAGAGACCUAGGCACCCUCCCUCCCAAUUCAGGGUCUCCACAGAAUGUCUCGGCCUGAAAUCCUCUUGGCCGAACUGAGGCCCAGAAACACAUCGUUGCUUGCCCAGGGGUCAAAGGGUUUACCAACAGGAAACUGCAUUUCCUAGGCCCAGGUCCAGAUAGCACAGAUAGAUGUGGUUUUCUCUUUGAGACCUUUAAUGUCAGCUAUGGGAGGAGGUGGGGAGAGGCAAAGCCAGAAAUGAGAGAGGAACAUGUGACGUCUUAAGGACGGCGGGACCAACGCCGAAGAAGCUCCUGGCUCAGCAGCUCCUGCUCUCUCCUUGCCCCUUGAAGCACACUUCUAUUCUCCUGGGCCCGACGAAGCAGCUCCAGUCGUGUCUAAGGCAGAAUCGGUACCCAGCUUCGUCCUGACCCUGUGCCAGUCCAGCAUUCCCUCCACCACGCCAAAUGUUUUGGUGUCAGGUCAGUGUGUGACCACAUUGUGCCUGUGCGUUGGGAAACGGCGGUCAGACUGCACCUGGCAGGGGCAAGAGCCAAACCAAGAUUCCUAUAAUUUUACGGGGAGGCGGGGAGUAGUACAUGAGGCCACUCCGAAGUCUUUUUUCAAGGCUUUUUUUGGCCCCGUACCCAUUCAAGUGACAAAUGCACAAGUCUGAAACUUCUUAUUUCACGUGUGGACUAGGGGGACGCCCUGAUGAGCCACGAUGUCGGAGCAAUGUCCAGUGCGCUUCCGUAUCCCUAGAUCAAAAUGGAACCAGGGCCGGCCACAUUUCUAUAAGGAGCAGUCCAAGAGCUUGAGAGUGACUUUUACACUGGAAAUGACAGUGCAAAAAGUGACGAACAGGGAGUUGGUGCACAAGACGAGGGAGGAGGUAGCGAGACAGGCUGGCACCGAUGAAGAGCAUCCUGGGCUGAGAAGGGCCCAGCAAGUGUGAUUUCGGUGAUCUCUGCAACAUCAUGAAAAAUGGGAGUCGCCUCCAAACUAACGGGCAGACGGCCUGACAUCUACCAAGGGAAGAAACAGUCUGCACACUGUAGACUGGUAAACUUGACUUUGCAACAGUUAAAAUUAGUUUCUCUGCCAAAAGUAUUGUAUUUUUAUGAGGUUUAUUAAAGAUUAAGAAAUAAAGAAAAUACAAAAUAAGAAAAGCACAUGUCUAGGAGGGCUGAAAAGCCCAUUCAAUUUCACUUACUACAUCUUUUUUUUUUUUUAAGGCAAUGGGGGUUAAGUGACUUGCCCAGGGUCACACAGCUGAGAAGUGUCUGAGGCCAGAUUCACUUACUACAUCUUGAAAGAUGCAUGUGCUUAGAAGUGGAAACAGGGAGAGGGGCAAAGAAGGCGGAGAGUCAAUUUAAAUACAAAUUGUGUUCUCGCACUCAGAACCAAGACCAGUUCAUGGACAACAGACGAACAGGGGCUGGGGAGAGCUCUUGGCAUCCACCCUUCAAACACUUUCCUCACUGCCACCAGCAGGUGAGAAGGCAGAAAGAAGGGGGCUGAAGAAAGACGAGGUCGAUGGAUCCAUUUUAAAUAUCUCCCCAGUUCUGUCUAGGAAGCUGCAGCCAGUUGAAGAGGCUCCUCUUCAUCAUGAGGUUAGCAGACCAGAACUAGUUACAGAAUGUCUACACAUGUUCCAAAGUCCAUGUGGGAAUGACAUCAGCUGAGCACUCCCAACACGGGCCCGUUACACCGGCCAUUGCCUCCUCGCUGCCUGCUGGUUCAGAGGGAGAAGCCCCUGACAGGCCAGGAGACAGCCCAGCCUUCUUGGACACCCCAAGAACAAAACAAGACCACAAAAACCUCCCUGACAAACGGAGCGGUCCAAAGGCAGAAUGAAGUGCUGGCUUUGCCGGGCCAUCAAAGUCCCUCCCGAGGCUCACAUUCUGUGAUUCCAGAGAAGGGAGAGACGGAAGCUCGCGUGUGCCAAGCCAGACAACGACCACCGUCUUCCCUCGGACCCCUGAACCCCAACACUAUCUUUCUAGGAAGCAACCUUAUGGAGCUGAAGCCCGGCAGCCGCUUCCGUAUAUAGAUGCUGAAGGCAGAAUCGGAGACCAAAUUUGUCAAAAGUGGCAUAAAAGACAUUAUCUUAUUUCAUGGCCAACUUGCUGGUUCCCCCCAAGGACCACGGGACCUCUCCGUCUUCCAUCUGUGUAUAUGACCCAUCCGAAAGGGAGCUCCCUGAGGGCAGGGACUGUCUUUUCCCAGUGGCCUGCACCGUGUUUUGCACAUUAUAAGGGUUUAAUAAUUGCUUUCUAAGAUUCAUCCAAUGUCACAGAGAGUAAUGGUGGAUCCAGAAUUUGAACCUAGGUCUUCUGACUCCAGGUGGAAGUCUUUCCUCUAUACCAUACUACCCUCACUAGAAAUAAUGCUAGAAAAAUAGGCUCUAGAUAAACGGUGGGGAAUCUUUCGUGCCAACUUAAGGAUUUUUUAUCUUAUCCUUGAGGCAAUGGGAAAGACACCAAAAAUGUUCACUCAGCCCUGCUAUCCCCUCAAACUAUAUCUUCUCCUUUCAUGGCCACUCUCAGGGGGGAAAUUUGUUUAUAUUCAUUUUACUUUAUUUCUUUACAUUCUACUCACUUCUUGAUCCUUUGCAAACUGGCCUUCAGAAAAGCAAAUAGUGUCCCGGGCUUCUAGUCAUGAAGACCUGAGUUAAAAUCUAGCUCCAGAUACUUGCUGUGUGACCUUGGGAAAGUCACCUAACCUCAAUUUUCUCAACUACAAAAUGGGGAUCAUAAUGGCACCUACCUUGCAGGUUUUUAUUUUGCCUCUCCUUUUUAUCCCCUUUGCCAGAGCAUCAUUCAUGUCUUAUUACCUAUAAAUGGAUGUACCCCGGAACUCCUUCCUGAGCCCCUUCUUCUCUCCCUCUAUUCUUUCUUAGGAUCAUAUCAGCUCUCAUGGGUUCAGGUAUCUCUACCCAGAUGAUUCCCAAAGCUGCAUAUCUAGAUCUUAUCAUUCUCCAUCCCUCAUAACCAGUUGCCUUUUGGCAUCUCCAUCUAGAUGCCCCAGAGGCCUCUCAAAAUCAGUGUAUCCAAAAUAGAAUUCUUUAUCUUUAAUCUCUAAACUUACUCCUCUUCCUGUCUACCCUGUUUUUCUUUUUCUUUCUUUUUUUUUAACCCUCACUUUCUGUCUUGGAGUCAAUACUGUGUAUUGGCUCCAAGGCAGAAGAGUGGUCAGGGCUAGGCAAUGGGGGUCAAGUGACUUACCCAGGGUCACACAGCUGGGAAGUGUCUGAGGCCAGAUUUGAACCCAGGACCUUCUGUCUCUAGACCUGGCUCUCAAUUCACUGAGCUACCCAGCUACCCCCUGUCUACCCCGUUUUUCUUGCAGGAACCACCAUUUUUAGGUCAUGGAACCUUGAUAUAAUCCUCAAUUCUUCCCUCUUCCUUAAUUCCCAUAUUUAGUUUCUAAGUCCUAUGGACUCUACCAGCACCAUGUAUCUCUCAUCAGUCCUUUCCUCAAUUUGUGCAGCUACCACCCUAUUUCAGGUCCUCAUCACCUCUAUCCUGAGCUGUAACAAGAGCCUCCUAACCGGUCCCUCUGCCUUCACUUUCUCACCUUUCCAAAUACAGCUGUCAAAUUUUUUUAGUUGAAUUUUUUUUCAGAAUUCAAACACAAAGCACUUACAUAUAUGCAAGCAGAGUACAAAAAAGAUUGUGUAUAAAAAUGAAUCUAUUUAAAAAGUGGUAAGAUUCUUUUUUAAAAGCUAAUCUUGGUGUACUAAUUGCUCUCAAUCAAUAAUCACUUGUUUUUUAAAUAAAAAGUAUGUAAUAAAUUCAAUGUUACUUUGCAAAGGCAUCC
Molecule: non-coding RNA, 6244 nt
Organism: Monodelphis domestica (gray short-tailed opossum)
Lineage: Eukaryota; Metazoa; Chordata; Mammalia; Didelphimorphia; Didelphidae
Source: RefSeq, a predicted model, not a curated record